This 207-nucleotide ribosomal RNA is filed under the name uncultured bacterium. Its description in RNAcentral is "partial 16S ribosomal RNA". It matches the Rfam family "Bacterial small subunit ribosomal RNA", at positions 568 to 774 of the family's 1533-position model. The record is from RNAcentral.
CGUGUAGGCGGUCCGGUAAGUCGGCUGUGAAAGUCCAGGGCUCAACCCUGGGAUGCCGGUCGAUACUGCCGGACUAGAGUUCGGAAGAGGCGAGUGGAAUUCCCGGUGUAGCGGUGAAAUGCGCAGAUAUCGGGAGGAACACCUAUGGCGAAGGCAGCUCGCUGGGACGUUACUGACGCCGAGACGCGAAAGCGUGGGGAGCAAACA